UAAUACGGAGGGUGCAAGCGUUAUCCGGGAUCACUGGGUUUAAAGGGUACGUAGGCGGUCUAAUAAGUCAGGUGUGAAAUACCGCGGCCUAACUGCGGAACUGCACUUGAUACUGUUAGACUUGAGUAGGGUGGAGGUACACGGAAUGCAUCAUGUAGCGGUGAAAUGCUUAGAUAUGAUGUAGAACACCGAUAGCGAAGGCAGUGUGCCAUACCUAUACUGACGCUGAGGUACGAAAGCGUGGGGAGCGAACAGGAUUAGAUACCCUGGUAGUCCACGCCCUAAACGAUGCUAACUGGACGUUUGGUCGGAAAAGAUUGAGCGUCUGAGGGAAACCAUUAAGUUAGCCACCUGGGGAGUACGUUCGCAAGAAUGAAACUCAAAGGAAUUGACGGGGGUCCGCACAAGCGGUGGAGUAUGUGGUUUAAUUCGAUGAUACGCGAGGAACCUUACCUGGGCUCGAACGCUACAUGAAUAAUGAGGAAACUUGUUAGGCUCGCAAGAGACAUGUA
Molecule: ribosomal RNA, 512 nt
Filed under: uncultured Aureispira sp.
Lineage: Bacteria; Pseudomonadati; Bacteroidota; Saprospiria; Saprospirales; Saprospiraceae
Description: bacterial SSU rRNA
Rfam family: Bacterial small subunit ribosomal RNA
Source: RNAcentral